This 968-nucleotide ribosomal RNA is filed under the name uncultured bacterium. Its description in RNAcentral is "bacterial SSU rRNA". It matches the Rfam family "Bacterial small subunit ribosomal RNA", at positions 538 to 1501 of the family's 1533-position model. The record is from RNAcentral.
GGGCCGUUCCGGAUUAUUGGGCGUAAGAGCUCGUAGGCGGUUUGUCGCGUCUGCCGUGAAAGUCCGGGGCUCAACUCCGGAUCUGCGGUGGGUACGGGCAGACUAGAGUGAUGUAGGGGAGACUGGAAUUCCUGGUGUAGCGGUGAAAUGCGCAGAUAUCAGGAGGAACACCGAUGGCGAAGGCAGGUCUCUGGGCAUUAACUGACGCUGAGGAGCGAAAGCAUGGGGAGCGAACAGGAUUAGAUACCCUGGUAGUCCAUGCCGUAAACGUUGGGCACUAGGUAUGGGGGACAUUCCACGUUUUCCGCGCCGUAGCUAACGCAUUAAGUGCCCCGCCUGGGGAGUACGGCCGCAAGGCUAAAACUCAAAGGAAUUGACGGGGGCCCGCACAAGCGGCGGAGCAUGUGGAUUAAUUCGAUGCAACGCGAAGAACCUUACCAAGGCUUGACAUGGGCCGGACCGGGCUGGAAACAGUCCUUCCCCUUUGGGGCCGGUUCACAGGUGGUGCAUGGUUGUCGUCAGCUCGUGUCGUGAGAUGUUGGGUUAAGUCCCGCAACGAGCGCAACCCUCGUUCCAUGUUGCCAGCGCGUAAUGGCGGGGACUCAUGGGAGACUGCCGGGGUCAACUCGGAGGAAGGUGGGGACGACGUCAAAUCAUCAUGCCCCUUAUGUCUUGGGCUUCACGCAUGCUACAAUGGCCGGUACAAAGGGUUGCGAUACUGUGAGGUGGAGCUAAUCCCAAAAAGCCGGUCUCAGUUCGGAUUGGGGUCUGCAACUCGACCCCAUGAAGUCGGAGUCGCUAGUAAUCGCAGAUCAGCAACGCUGCGGUGAAUACGUUCCCGGGCCUUGUACACACCGCCCGUCAAGUCACGAAAGUUGGUAACACCCGAAGCCGGUGGCCUAACCCCUUGUGGGAGGGAGCUGUCGAAGGUGGGACUGGCGAUUGGGACUAAUCGUAACAAGGUAACC